AUAGCCAUGCAUGUCUAGUAUAAGCAAUUAUACCGUGAAACUGCGAAUGGCUCAUUAAAUCAGUUAUCGUUUAUUUGAUAGUACCUUACUACUUGGAUAACCGUGGUAAUUCUAGAGCUAAUACAUGCUAAAAACCCCAACUUCGGAAGGGGUGUAUUUAUUAGAUAAAAAACCAAUGCCCUUCGGGGCUCCUUGGUGAUUCAUAAUAACUUAACGGAUCGCAUGGCCUUGCGCCGGCGACGGUUCAUUCAAAUUUCUGCCCUAUCAACUUUCGAUGGUAAGGUAUUGGCUUACCAUGGUUUCAACGGGUAACGGGGAAUUAGGGUUCGACUCCGGAGAGGGAGCCUGAGAAACGGCUACCACAUCCAAGGAAGGCAGCAGGCGCGCAAAUUACCCAAUCCCGACACGGGGAGGUAGUGACAAUAAAUACUGAUACAGGGCUCUUUCGGGUCUUGUAAUUGGAAUGAGUACAAUUUAAAUCCCUUAACGAGGAACAAUUGGAGGGCAAGUCUGGUGAAUUCUCAGUUUUUGCUGACGCCAGAGAUAGUAGGGCCUUUGGCGGCUUUAGCUGCUAGAGGUUAUGCCUGCUAGUCGAGUAUUCACAACAGCGGUGGGUGAAUGCCGGCAAGGUGACCUGGUACGGGGAAGCCUAAGGGUGUUUACACCUAUGGUAAUCCCGUGGCGAGUCUUUCUGAAAAGAAAGGCCGUCGUAACGCGCGGAAAGGCACCGGCUUGUUGUAUUUAGUAAUGCAGCGGCUCAAGGGACGUGCUGACCCAUCUGAAAGGAUGUUUUUAACUGGAGCACCCACCGUGUAAAGGUUAAAAAGGGUCUCUGCCAGUGGCAGAGACUUGGGAGUGUUUAAGUGGCUUUUUGGGCGCCACGUAAACGCAUUUAACUCGGCCAGCAGCCGCGGUAAUUCCAGCUCCAAUAGCGUAUAUUAAAGUUGUUGCAGUUAAAAAGCUCGUAGUUGAACCUUGGGCCUGGCUGGCCGGUCCGCCUCACCGCGUGUACUGGUCCGGCCGGGCCUUUCUUUCUGGAGAUCCCCAUGUCCUUCACUGGGUGUGGCGGGGAACCAGGACUUUUACUGAGAAAAAAUUAGAGUGUUCAAAGCAGGCCUUUGCUCGAAUAUUCCAGCUUGGAAUAAUAGAAUAGGACGUGCGGUUCUAUUUUGUUGGUUUCUAGGACCGCCGUAAUGAUUAAUAGGGAUAGUCGGGGGCAUCAGUAUUCAAUUGUCAGAGGUGAAAUUCUUGGAUUUAUUGAAGACUAACUACUGCGAAAGCAUUUGCCAAGGAUGUUUUCAUUAAUCAGUGAACGAAAGUUAGGGGAUCGAAGACGAUCAGAUACCGUCGUAGUCUUAACCGUAAACUAUGCCGACUAGGGAUCGGGCGAUGUUGUUUUUUUGACUCGCUCGGCACCUUACGAGAAAUCAAAGUUUUUGGGUUCUGGGGGGAGUAUGGUCGCAAGGCUGAAACUUAAAGAAAUUGACGGAAGGGCACCACCAGGCGUAAACUUUUGCAGGACUCUGCGCUAUAAAGCAGCCUAUUUAUAGGUGUGGUGGUGCGACCUUAAAUGCUAGUUACUUCUAAUUAAGUUUAGAUGUAGCGACACACUUAAAUUGCGGGGAACUCCUGAAGCAUUUUAUGACCAAGCUAUUUCUUGAAAGAGGGUAGUGGCUAGUCUAAUCAACUAGGUAAGGUAACACUAUAAAAUGUAUAGGAUAAUCCGCAGCCAAGCUCCUAAUGCAGUUUCUUGUAAUGGAGAAGGUUCAGAGACUAAAUAAGUGUGGGUUGGCUUAAUUAAUAUCAAAGACAUUACAAAGGAUGGGAGGGGUUGGAUCGGUAAGUUGUGAAGAGAGCAGCGAAUUCAAUUGGAAUAGAGUAUGAGAAUUUCUUUGGCUUUGAAUAUUGUCUGUGAUGUCUGAUAAUUCGUUGUGCAAACAAUUUAAUGUUCUUUGAUAUUAACUAACAGCCAGCUUAAGAUAUAGUCCAAUCCCUUUUGAGAAGAAGGGUAGUAUUAGAAUGGGAGCCUGCGGCUUAAUUUGACUCAACACGGGGAAACUCACCAGGUCCAGAUGAAAUAAGGAUUGACAGAUUGAGAGCUCUUUCUUGAUUUUUCAGGUGGUGGUGCAUGGCCGUUCUUAGUUGGUGGAGUGAUUUGUCUGCUUAAUUGCGAUAACGAACGAGACCUUAACCUGCUAAAUAGCCAGGCUAGCUUUGGCUGGUCGCCGGCUUCUUAGAGGGACUAUCGGCUCAAGCCGAUGGAAGUUUGAGGCAAUAACAGGUUAACUCACAGGCCUGUAAUAGCGGGCCUCUUGAAAAUAUAACUGCUAGUCUAGUGUCGAUCUCCUUUGGGGAAGCCCCCAGCUGUCGGGAGGAGAGGAUAACUCUAUGUUAUCUUGACGCAGGCAACACCACCUGGUACAGGGAACGCCGGAUUGUCUAUUUUAUAGGCAAUUGGCCGAUCCUGUGGCGAGUCUGGGCAGCGCCAGACCGUCGCAACGCGCGCAAAGGGGUGGGUCAACGUUUACGUUGGCUUAAGGUACGUGCUAAUCCCUUGGGUAACCAAGCUCUGACGAUAAGACCCGACAGGUCAAGGCGUUAGAGGGCAGCAAUAGUUAAAGCUAUUGUUGCUGGUACACUGUUUAAGUUAAAAAAGAAGGCUGCUUCUAGUAACUUAAAUAGAUAAUAUGCUGUGAUGCCCUUAGAUGUUCUGGGCCGCACGCGCGCUACACUGACAGAGCCAACGAGUUCAUCACCUUGGCCGAAAGGUCUGGGUAAUCUUGUUAAACUCUGUCGUGCUGGGGAUAGAGCAUUGCAAUUAUUGCUCUUCAACGAGGAAUGCCUAGUAAGCGCAUGUCAUCAGCAUGCGUUGAUUACGUCCCUGCCCUUUGUACACACCGCCCGUCGCUACUACCGAUUGAAUGGCUCAGUGAGGCCUUCGGACUGGCUCAGGGAGGUCGGCAACGACCACCCAGAGCCGGAAAAGUGUCAA
Molecule: ribosomal RNA, 2992 nt
Filed under: Massaria ariae
Lineage: Eukaryota; Fungi; Ascomycota; Dothideomycetes; Pleosporales; Massariaceae
Description: partial 18S ribosomal RNA
Rfam family: Eukaryotic small subunit ribosomal RNA (bases 1-1537)
Source: RNAcentral